UCCACCAGUGUACAAAUACAAGUCCCCACCGCCACCUCCUCCAGUUUACAAAUCUCCACCGCCACCAAUUUACAAGUACAAGUCACCCCCACCACCUCCUCCGGUAUACAAGUCUCCUCCGCCACCUGUUUACGAGUACAAGUCUCCUCCACCACCUCCUCCAGUGUACAAGUCUCCACCACCUCCAGUUUACAAGUACAACUCACCACCACCUCCUCCCCCAGUUUACCAAUCUCCACCACCACCAGUUUACAAAUACAACUCACCACCACCUCCUCCCCCAGUUUACCAGUCUCCACCUCCACCCUAUCAUCACUACUACGGUUCUCCUCCUCCUCACCACUACUAAGCAAGUGCAUCUAAGUUUUGAGGUAAUAAUACCUAUCCAAAACUUUAUCAACACAAACUGCCAUGUAUAUCAUGCUAAGGACGUACACUUGAUCCAUGAAAAUGACUUGUAGAAGAUUUUUUUUAAGAACCAAAGAAAUACAUUAUUUUUUCGGUCUGUUUUCAAGAAUUUGAGCAGUAUACAGAUUAAAGAGUGUUUUUUUUUUUAAACUUGCUUAUCAACUUAGAAAUGCACAUAGCUGAAAGCCAACUGAAUAUUUGCAGGCAAAGGAGAAGACAAUCGGUGUUUGCGACCUUCAAGAAGAUGUAGAAGAAUAAGAAUAAAAGCCCAAUGCGAGGAUGAUUCCAAGUUUCUACGUUACCAUUUCUACAUCUAAAUUGACUCUAGCUCCUGAGUUCCAUGUUUAUGGGGUUUGUACCGUUUUACGUACCAUGCAGUGCAUGCUUGUAAGGUUUUCUGUCCUGUUGGCAAACUGCAGGUCCAUAUAAUAAAAGAAUACUAUUUAUAUUACGACACUUUUCUCUCUUUCUCUUAUAUUUUGUCUUUAAUAUUGUUGAUCAUUUUUUUUUAUUUAUCAAAAGUAUCAAAUGUUUAGGUAAUUUGGUCUAAUGCUAAUUGUUUUACUUCUCUUUUUCACCUACACCCCUUUUCAACUCAAAGGAUGCUAUAGUUUGUGAUAAUUGUUUAAGACCGAAGCAUGAUACUAAUAAAUAUCUCAUUGAAAGUCAAGGAAACUAACAUUAUGAAAAGUGUAAAUCUUGAUUUGAUGAAACUAUUUAUUCGUGGAAUUUAGAGAUACAAAACUCAAAUUGUGACGGUGCUGUUGCUAAAUUAUUAAGGACAUUAUCACCACUAUUUUUCCCUUACUAGUUUCAACUGCAAUGAUCUCAAUCUUUUUGUGACUAAUUCUUUUCUUAAUAAUUUAUAAAUACAAAACUCACAAAGAAUAUGUGACUAAUUCUUUCCUUUCGUCUUCUAAAGAAAAUGGCAACUGUUAGUUUAUCAAGGGAAAAAGGAUCGACAUCAGUUGUUAUUGAAACUAGUAAGGAAAAAAUAAUGGUGAUAAUGUCCUUAAUAAUUUAACAACAGCACCAUCAGAAUUUGAGCUUUGUAUCUAUAAAUUCCACGAAUAAAUAGUUUCAUCAAAUCAAGAUUUACACUUUUCAUAAUGUUAAGUUUCCUUGACUUUCAAUGAGAUAUUUAUUAGUAUCAUGCUUCGGUCUUAAACAAUGAUCACAAACUAUAGCAUCCUUUGAGUUGAAAAGCGAAGUAGGUGAAAAAGAGAAGUAAAAAAUACAAUUAGCAUUCCCUCAAAUCGUAGAAAGUUAGGUAGCAUUAUAGACAAGUUGAUAGCCGUAAUGAUACUAAAAAUCAGGCAAAAGCCAGCAAUUUUACAUUUCAAAAUUCACCUAUCCAAUAACUAAUUCGAUGGCUUGCUACAUGGUCAAUCUUUGGACCCCUUCCUGCCACCACAUAUCCCUUUCCUCAAUCAGGGGCUUCUACAAUUACCAGUUCCAAUUGUAUGGUAUAGUGUAAAUAUCAACAAAUCAGAUGUAGACGCUAAUUUAAUAAAUGUGGAUGCUAAGACAACAACAUACAAAAACAUAAUAAAUUUUGGCAUUCCUUAAAAAAAUUAAGUCCCCAAAUCAAUCUCAUACACCCAAUUUCUAAUUUAAUUUAACCCAUUCCCUCUAUUAACUACACCAUACAAUACAAUCGAACCCAUUCCCUUCUAAUUUCUUCACAAAAUGCACCUUUCAUCACCGACAUGAUCUUUACCCUAGAAGACUAUUCACCGACUCUCCAUUGACGUCAGAAAAUCUAAGAGUAAUUCUACUUUACCCUAAGAUUGAUAUCAACGAGACAAUAAUGACAAUUUAGAAUUAUUACACGCCUCUUCUUAAUAGGAAAAAGAAAUACAGAAGAAAGUCAGGCCAGGUCUAAUUCUUUUUCAAAGGCAAUACAAUAUUACGAAAUCAAGCAGUCAUUCAUACAAAUAUUUCAUAGUCACCGGCCGGGGUUUGCUGAGUAGAAAAGUUUAUACAAAAACUUAAUAUUAUAUUGUUUAAGAGUUAACAAUUUAGAGCUUAAUCUCCUUGUACUUUGGACUAAACUCGAACGUGAAAGGAAAUCCCAAAACCAUAUUGGGCAUGAAUUCACACUUAAUAGACCCAAAAGAAGAUGGCGACUGGUGAAAGGCAGUGGAGACUGGUGGAGAGAUUUGAGGAAUAGAAGCAGACGGAAAAGCAACAAAUUUUUGCCGAAAAACGGUCACUUUCAUGGUUAAUUUUGCUACUCUCUAAUUGUACUUGACCAAAUACAACAAUUUCAUGGAGUUUGAUACACAAGCCCAAAUACACGAGAGUGUGUAACCUGAAUUGUUACUUAUACAUUAGUGUGUAAUAGAACGGCAAGCAUUAUGGUGGUCAUUGAGCAACUUAUAGAAGAAAUAGUCCUAUAAGCUGUUCGAUGACCAAUCGCAACUUGCUAAUUGGAUGACUAAUAUAGCUCUAGCUGUAAUGUUUUAAUUAAAUUCCAUCACUAACGUUGGGAUGACUUUUUAACCAAAAAAAAAAAAAAAGCCUUAGUUCAAGCUUUUCCCCUUAUUGUGCAUUUUUUAAAACAUUUGAUAGGCACUGCAAAUCUGUCAUUUUGGACAUCAACCCAUAUCCAACACAAGAUUAAAUUAAUAUUAGAAAAAAUUAUUACGUAAUUGGAAAAAAAAAAAGAAGAGACUAAUUUUCAUUGAAACCCACCGACAAACUAAGCGUGUCCAUAGCUUUUGAUUAGUUCAUUGCCGAUCACAUGGAGUAAAGAUUGUGCUCUUUCCCUUUCCCCCCCUUUUGGAAUCGAUACUGUGGAGAAUUGGCUUUUUCCCUCCUUUUUUUCUUUUCUUUUCUUUUCUUUCCUUCUGUACUUUGCAAAACAUAGGUAAAAAUAUGAAAUCCGAAGCAUUCUUUAAUUGGGAUUAAGUAUUGUUCUUGAAAUUAAAAAAAAAAAGAAAGAAAGAACAACAAAAAUCCCAAUCUGGGUUGAUUGUUGAGCUCUAGAUUGGCUGCAUCGUGCUUCCAUAGAAGUUCUCUUAGUGUGAUACGCUGCUUUCAAUCAGUUUUAACACGGGAAAAAGAAAAGACAUGAAAAGCAAAUUUUGUGGGGAUAAUUUCGGUAACCUCCCCUGAAGUUUUUGACUAUUUUACUGGCCUCCCUUCAGAUUUUAAAAAUUGCACUAAUCUUCCUUAAAGUUAAUUAUCUUGUAACAUUUAGAUCCAAUCAAUAAUUUAAAAAAUGAUAUUAUGAGAGAGAAAAUAAUAUGAUUUUAUCAUUGCCCCCAUCUUACUACAUUAUUUAAUUAAUUUAAUAGCAACCCACACAUUAAAGAAAAAUGCAAAAAUUUGUUGUUUAUCAUUAAAGAUCAUCAUAUCGCAUAUAACAUCAAAAAAUAGUAUAUUAUUUAUAUUUUUCACUUAAUAUAAUAUCCAAAUUACUCUUUUCAGUUACAUACCCAUUGUUAGACAAAAUCAACAACAAAUAACCAAAAAAUUUGCAACCAAAAUAUUACAAAAAAAUAAACUUUAACAUCAUAAAUAUUUUUAUCAACAUAUUAAAGUUAGUUAUUGAAAUUUUUAUGGUGUUAAACUUCACUCUUUGUAAUAUUUUGGUUACAGAUUUUUUUGAUUAUUUGUUGUUGAUCGUGUUUGACAAUGGAUUUGUAACUGAAAAGAACAAUUUGGAUCUUACAUUAAGUGAAAUAUAUAAAAAUAUUAUACUAUUUUUUAUGGCAUAUGUGAUUCUUUUUUUUUUUUUUUUUUUAUCAGAACGGCAACAUUGUAUUAAUAGUAAACCAAUUACAGUAUAGGUGGGCAACCGCCCUCACAAUCUGCCUGGACUUGUUCCAGCAGCCAAACUGGGAAGUUUUCCUUCCAUUCAGUAUUUUGUUCCAAAGUAAUAGCUACUUUAGCUAGUUUAUGGCUAACAAAGUUGUUCACCCUAUUUGCAAAGGUAAAACAACAUUCAUCAAAUUUUAUUCAUGUACAAUUGUUGCUAUCACCACGUCCUCCUCCUCCUCCUCACUGCACACUACUUGACUACCACCCUUCGCCAACCUUGCUGUUGCAUGUGCAACUAUCAUGGCCUCUCUUAGCGCCUUUGCUUCUUCGACCUUUGGACUGGCACAGCUAAAAUUUGGAACAGCCCAGGCCCACCCGCAAUCUUCCCAACCAAUCCCUGGCCACCCUUUUCCCACCCAGCUUCUAUGGCAUGUGUGAUUCAAUCCUUCUUGAUAGGAUUGGUAAUAGAGGCAGAGGGGGGAGCCGGCUGCAUCCGGUCUACUUUUCAUAGAUAGUACAAUAUUGCGAAAUCGAUCGCAUUCACACAAGAAUAUUUCGAAGUCAUUGCAUCGCUAAGUUGCAAAAAAGUACAAACACUUGUUAUUAUAUAGCUUAAGAUUCAAAACUUUAGAGCACAACCCUCCACCUAACACAAUUGAAUAAUGAAUAUUCACGAUUGUCAAAUCUGUCAAAGCACAGUUUGAGGACAACCCAUUCCAACCUGCAAAAGAUUUUUGACUUUUUUAAAGUUGUUGAGAGCUGUAAAAAGACUUACCAUGCUUACAUCUUCCGAGCCUUGGGAGUUAAAAAUGAAGGCACUGAGUGCUAUAAAAAGGGGGCUAGAGGCUGCCUAGAAGCAUAUCAGCCUAAAACAAGAAUUUGUAGUUAUGAUGGGAAGCAAAGCAAAAGCAAUGGGGUCUGGGCUGACUCCUCUUCUUACCACUGUUUUAGUGGUAUUUGUUGCUCUUGGCUUGCCCUCAGAAACUGCAGCUGAUGAUCACUACAAGUAUUCAUCUCCUCCUCCUCCUUACCACUAUCCCUCACCACCACCUCCAGUGCAUUUACCUCCACCAGUGUACAAAUACAAGUCCCCACCACCACCUCAUCAUGUUUACAAGUACAAAUCUCCACCACCCCCACCACCACACCCAGUUUACAAGUAUAAGUCGCCACCACCACCUCCUCAUCCGGUAUACAAGUACAAGUCUCCUCCGCCACCUCCUCAUCCGGUACCACACCCAGUUUACAAGUAUAAGUCACCACCACCACCUCCUCAUCCGGUACCACACCCAGUUUACAAGUAUAAGUCUCCUCCGCCACCAGUUUACAAAUAUAAGUCUCCUCCACCACCACCUCCAGUGUACAAAUACAAGUCUCCACCACCACCAGUUUACCACUACAAGUCUCCACCACCUCCUCCCCCAGUUUACAAAUACAAGUCUCCACCACCACCAGUUUACCACUACAAGUCUCCACCACCUCCUCCCCCAGUUUACAAAUACAAGUCUCCACCACCACCACCACCAGUUUACCACUACAAGUCACCACCACCUCCUCCCCCAGUUUACAAAUACAAGUCUCCACCACCUCCUCACCACUACUAAGCAAUUGCUUCUGAGGUAAUAACACUUGUUCAAUAUACACACUUCUGCAUGAUAAAACAUAUCUCUAUCAACACAAACUGUCAUGUCUAUCAUGCUAAGUGCCUUCACUUCAUCCACGAAAAUGACUGCUAGAAAAUUUUUUUUUAAGUUACCAAAGAAAAGCAUCAUUUUUUCCCUCUGUUAUCAAGAACUUGUACAGUAUGUAGAUUAAAGAGUUUUUAUUUUAACUAGCUUAUCAACUUAGAAAUGCAUAUAACUGAUAGCCAGCUGAAUAUUUGCAGGCAAAGGAGAAGGAAACCAGUGUUUGGACCUUCUUGAAGAUGUAGAAGCAUAAGAAUAAAAGCCCAAUGUGAAGAUGAUGAUUUCAAGUUUUUCUACGUUACCAUUUCUAUAUCUAAAUUCGUUGUAGCGCCUUAGUUCCUUUGUUUAUGGGAUUUGUAUCGUUUUACGUACCAUGCAGUACAUGUCAUGUUUGUAAGGUUUUCUAUCCUGCCGGCAAAUCGCAGGUUCCAUGUAAUAAAUCAAUACUAUUUAUAUUACGACACUUUUCUCUGUUUCUCUUAUAUUUGUUUGGAUUGAGCUUUAUUUCCCCAAAUUUAUUUGCUUACAUCAUCAUUACAAUUUCUAAUACACCUUUUUACCUUCCCGAUUACCUUUUUAUCUCACAUACAUCACAUCACAAAAAGUGCUACAGUAAAAAUAUCUCUAAUAAUUCACAAUCCAAACAGACUUUUGUCUUUAAUAUUCUUAAUCAUAUUUUUAACAAAAAUAUUCAAAUACUUAGGUAAUCUGGUCUAAUGCUAAUUGUAUGUUUUACUUUUCUUUUUCACCUGCUCCCCUUUUCAACUCAAACGGAUGCAAUAGUUUGUGAUCCCUGUUUAAGACGGAAGCAUGAUACUAAUGAAUAUAUCAUUGAAACUCAAGGAAACUAACAUUAUGAAAAGUGUAAAUCUUGAUUUGAUGCAACUAUUUAUUCGUGGAAUAUAUAGUUACAAAACUCAAAUUCUGACUGCGCCAUUGAUAAAUUAUUAAUGACGCUAUCAUCAUUAUUUAUCCCUAACUAGUUUCGACUACAACUGAACCCAAUAUUUUCCCCAUGAUAAAAGUUUUUGACUAUUUUACUGGCCUCUCUUCAAAUUUUAAAAAUUACACUAAUCUUCAUUGAGAUUAAUUAUCUUGUAACAUUUAGUUCCGAUCAAGAAUUUAAAAAUGAUAUUAUGAGAGAAAAAAUAAUAUAAUUUUAUCAUUGCCCCCCAUCUUGCUAUAUUAUUUAAUAAAUUUAAUAGCAACCCACACAUUAAAGAAAAAUACUAAAAUUUGCUACUUUUCAUUAAAGAUCAAAUUGCAUAUGCCAUAAAACAUAGUAUAUCAUUCUAUGUGUUUCACCUAAUGUAAGAUCCCAAUUGUUAUUUUCAAUUACAAACCCAUUGUCAAACAUGAUCAACAACAAAUAACCAAAAAAUUUGCAACCAAAAUAUUACAAAAAAAAAUAAACUUUAACAUCAUAAAUAUUCUUACCACCUCCAGUGCAUUCACCCUCACCAACCACUAGUUUACAAGUCACCCCCACCACCUUACCACUAUUCCUCACCGCCACCCACAGUGCAUUCACCUCCACCACCACCUGUUUAUAAGUCACCUCCACCACCUUAUCAUUAUUCGUCACCACCAUCUGCAUUGCUUUCACCUCCAUCAUCACCAGUUUACAAAUCACCACCACCAUCUUCCCCAGUGUACAAGUCCCCUCCACCACCAAUUUACAAGUCUCCGCCGCUAUGUCCCCCAGUAUAUAAGUCAUCCCCACCACCGCCUCCAAUGUACAAGUCUCCGCCGACACCAAUCUACAAGUACAAUUCACCACCACCCAUGCCUCCAGUUUACAACUCCUUGCCACCACCUAUUUACAAACACAAGUCUCCCCCACCACUUCCUCCGGUAUACAAGUCAUCUCCACUGCAUCCUCCAAUUUAUGAGUCUCCUCGUCCACCAGUUUACGAGCACAAGUCUCCUCCACCGCCUCCUCCAGUAUAUAAGUCACCACCACUAUCUCCUCCAGUACAUGUCUCCACCACCGCCUAUUUACAAAUCUCCGCCUCCUCCAGUUUACAAUUCCCCACCACCACCAAUAUACAAGUCUCCACCUUCAUCCAACCAUUACUACUAUAAUACUCCUCCUCCUCCUUCGCACUACUGAGGAAUUGCAUCCAAGUUUUGAGGUAAUAACGCGUAACCAGUAUAAACUUUUGUAUGAUAAACCUUAUCCCGAUCAACACAAACUGCCAUGUGUAUCAUGCUAAGUACGUACGCUUAGAUCCAUGAAAAUGACUAGUAGAAGGUUAUCCUAAGAACCAAGGAACAUUAGUUUUCCCUCUGUUUCCAAAAACUUGUGUUUGUUUAACAUGCUUAUCAACUUGGAAAUGCGCAUUGCUAAUAGCCAACUGAAAUUUUUGCAGGCAAAUUGGGAAGAGAAUCAGUGUUUGAGCGGUUCAUGGAAGAAUAAGAAUAAAAGCCCAAUGCGAGGAUGUUCUCAAGUUUAUUAAUGUUUCCGUUCUAUUUUGUAAAUUGAUUUUUGCGACUUAAUUAAUUCCCUGUUUGUGGGGUUCGUGUUGUUUUACCUACAUGCCAUACAUGUUUGUAAUGAUUUUUAUUGCAAAAUGCCGGUCCAAUAAAAUAACUGUAUUCAUUUUGUGUCUUUUGAGUAAACUUCUAUUGGUUCUACUACUUAUUUUACGAUAUUUUUUUUCUCUCUUUCUCUUACAUUUUCCGUUUAAUAUUAUUGAUAAUUUUUUUAACAAAAAAGGUUGAUAUACUUAGGUAGUUCACUAGUUUGGUCUAAUCCUAACUUCAGGCUUGUCUUGUCUUUUAUCUCUACAUACCUUUUCAACUCAAAGGAUGCUACUAUAAUUUGUGAUCAUUGUAGUGGUGAUAUUCCGAGCUAUUACAUAUAAUUUAAGGCAGAGAUUUGAUCCUAGCGAGUAUCUCACUGACAGAUUAGGAAACAUCAUGAAAAGCGUAUAUCUUGAAUUAGUGCAACUAUUUCUUAGGGGAAUUUAUAGUUACAAAAUUCCAAAUUUUGAGAUUCUAUUACUGAUUAAUUAAGGACGUUAUCACUAUUUUUUUUUAAUUAUCACCAUUAAAUACCCCACAUACUAUAAGUUUUUUUAGGGCACAGGAAAAGAGGUGGGCCGAUGUUUAGUUAUCUACAAAAGUUCAAAUUUUGUAGAUAAAUUAUCAUGCGCCCUUAAAGAGUGCAGAAUACCAAAAAAAAAAAAAAAAAAAAAUCAUAUACUAUAACUAAUCCUAAUAUUUUUCCCUACGAUAAACUAACUCUUAUCCAUUUCUUUAGAUGAUGAAAGGAAAUAGUUAGUCACAUAUCCUCUAGUGAUUACAACAGCAUCAAAACAAAUUAGCACUCUUUUCCCGUAGUUUAAAAAUCCCUCAGCCACUAAGAUUUUGCAUAUCGAACGAAUUAAGGAACAUAGGCGCUUCGUGCUGGACAACAGUGUCCUUGUUGACGAUGCAUCCGCAUAUACUUCCUUAAGCAUUUUGAUUAUUUUAUGAUUCGAAUUUUUCUUGUCUGACAGCUGGACUUAAUUGAAAAACUCAAGUAAUAAUAUUCCAAAGCUGAUUCGUCAAAGUUUACCCAAUUGGUGAAACUUUCUUAAUAGAGCUGACUUUGUAUUACGUGACAAUGAUAUGGAUGCUCAAAGUUUUCAAUGGGAAAUUUAUAUGAGCUUUUCACGACAAAAUGUGUUCCGAUAAAGGUUCAUUCCAGAGGUUAAAAUUUUGUUUGUUAAAAAUUUACUUCUCAAGUCUUUGAUGCGAAAGUCUUGGUAUUUCCAAAAAGUCUUGAAAUCGCAGCAUAUAAGCCACUUUCUGUUCUCUUUUUUUCAUUGAAGUCUUUCCAAAUGUCAGUUCCAAAAGGAGUUUUUUAUGAAUUAUGAUAGAUAAUUAAUCUGACGGUCCAUAUAUAUGUGAUUUGCAAGAGGGUGUUUGGCGAAAUGGUUAGGCUUUCUAAGUAAUGAUAGGAAUGCCAUUUGCAAAGAAGGACAGGGGGCCUGUGCUGUCAUAUUUUAUGCGAUUUGAUCCGUUGUUGUAUAAGUUUAAAUUUUUGACGUGCAAUUGUGCUACAAUAUUAUACUAAAUAUAUGUGUGAAAUAUUUUGUCUAUAUACAUCACUUUUAUCGUGAAUACAACAGCUGAGUAUAAUAAUAUAAUAUAAUGUAAUUAUACACCAAAUAAUGUAACAAAUAUAACAAUCGAUCUGAAUUACACGAAAUCAUAACAACAAGAUCACCGCCUCCCAAAUUUUACAAAAUAAGGUUUUUUUUUUCUUUUAGAUUAUUGAAAAUUUUCAAAAAUAUUCUACAUAAUUUAAAUUUUUGUCCUACAAAAAUUAAAAGAGAUUUUAUAUUGCACGCUUAAGCUUAGAUAUAUUAAAGUUUGCCCCCAAGAUUAAUUUUCCGUUUUUAUCUAUGGUUUCUCAUCUAUGAGCCGAUCCAUAUAGCUAGUUAGACUGUACUCCUCACAUUUGUGGGAUUUGACACCCAAGAUUCUCCUUCUUGGAAUGUAAAAUGUAGAUCUUCUAUGUUAAUAAUUCAGGACCCAACUGUCAUAAACGAAAUGACUGAUCAACUCCUGUAAAUCUAAUUUAACAACAUUUAAAUGGAGAACUUUAGCUAAAAGAAUUAUGGUUAUUUUCCAACAUAUGCAAUCAUUGAUCAGAAUAUAUAUAUAUAUAUGUAAAAGACAUCUUCAGUCAUUUCAUAGCUUACCAGGCAAAUUAACCCCUAAGUGAACCUCUUCGAACAGAACUGACAAUAUGGAUGAAGAUCUGGAUAUUCUUUUAUCCUGACUCCUAAGGGAAAACUGGUUGAUCUAGAAUCAAAAUUUUACCCUAGUUACCCAGGCAACUUUUUUGUUGCCUUUUUUUUUUUUGGUAUAAAGCUCCAAUUUUGCUCCCUCUGUUAAGCUUAUAAUGCAUAUAAUUAUUAAGAUAAUAAAAGUGCCUUGAAUAGUAUUAAUAUAUGCAUUGACUUGAGCUGUCAUCAGUUCGGCCACUUCGAUUCCAUGAGGCCUUUUCAAUUCACACUAGCUAGAAAAUGGGGAGUCGUGAAAACCUUUUGUUCUAUUCAUUGCUAAGAUGCUUUUCUCUAUAAAGAGACUUCCUAACGAAAAUACUUUGUAGAUUUCUUUACUCCAAGUGGUGCAUGAAAAAUUAAUAUUUUCAAUUAACAAAUAAAAUUCCCUUUUUUUGGUGUAGAUUUCAUCCAUCCAGCUGUUAACACAUUCUAUAAAUCCGAAUUGACUAAUCUUUUCAUUUCCAUUUUCCAACUUGCGAAUACGGCAUCUUAUAUAAUGUCUGCUAAACACUAUAUAUUCUCUGCCAAAUAUGAAUACAUAUCACUUUUCUGAGCAAGUGCAGAGUCAUUAUCAUUUUUAUUCCCACAUAACAAAUUAGUGGUUGAGCAUCUUUACAUGCUAUCAGGUCACAAGUUAAUAAUCUUUUAAAGAACAUGUUAAAUUAAUUUAUUGGUAUGAAUAGUCAAAGAAGUAUGUUAAAGUUAGCAAUCUUUAAAAUAAUAUGUUAAAAUCAUUAGUACAAAUUAGUCAGAGAAGUAGCAUAAACACCACGAUGCAAUUAAUACUUUCAAUCUCAAGGUCUCUCUUACGGAAAUUUGCAUCGGUCAACAUACACAAAGCAUAAUUGUAUGCACGUCUCUCUAUCAUGGAAUUUGCAUAGGUCAAUAUACACUUGGCAUAGUUGAUAGUUGUAUGCGCGUAGGCAUGGCCAUGGUUCCAUUUGGAACUGGGAAUCAGACCGAAACCGGAUCGUUUGGAACCAGAUCAGAACCGGAAUCAAAACCAUGAAACCAGAACCGUGAUAGAACCUUGGAUAAAGGUUCCGGUUCUGGUUCUCUAAAAAAUAGAACCAGAACCAGAACCGUUAAAAAUAAUUAAUAUAAGUGGUGAGAUAAUUCAAAAAAAAUUAGUUGUGUUUAAUAGGUUUUAAGAAAGUUUAAAUUUUAUGGACUUUCUAUAUAUUUUAUUAAUUAUUUAAUUCUUUCUAUUCAUCUAAUAUUUAUCAUUAUAAUUUGCAAGUAUUAAAUUAUUACUUAAAAUUUUUUUUUUUUUUUGCUUAUUUGCUAUCAAAUGACAAGUUUUGAUGGUAGUAGCUCAUCUUCAAAAUCAAGCAAGCAAAAAAAUAUUUUUUGCAAUAUUUCUUCAAAUGGAAUCUUCAACAUUGAUGAUUGUCCAACUCAAGAAAGUCAACAUAUGACAACCAUUUGAUAGUGUAAUGUAUUUUUUAAUUUGACAAUGUAAUGUACUUUUCAUAAAAUUUAUAUUAUCUAUUUAUUACUUCUUACUUUGUAGAAUAAUAAUAAAAUUAAAAUAUGAUCUUUAUUUUGUAUUUAUUUUUUUACGUUUUAUUUGAAAUUUUAAAUAUAUUGUUAUAUUCGUAUUAAAAUUGGUAAGGAUAAGGAAUUAAAUAAAAUUGUAUAUAACCAUACAGAACCGGAAACCGGAACCAGAACUAUAAGGAACCAAAAUCAGAACUAUGCGGUUCUGGUUCUACCUCUUUGAAGAACCAGAACCAGAACCAUUUUAUAUGGUGCGGUUCUGGUUCUACCUUUUUUAAGAACCAGAACCGGCGGUUCUAGAACCGUGGUCAUGCCUAUAUGCACGUCUUUUAUUUUAUUUUAUUUUAUUUUUUGGUACUGUUCUUCCUUGCUUUAUAGUAUGCACGUUUAUUUCUUUGGAUUGCUUAAGAUUAUAUUGUUAAUAAUAGGGCAUUUAACCAUAAAUUAUAAUAAUUAUGAAGUAAUAUAUAUUAGAAAAUUAACACAAUUAUGAUUUUUUUUUUUUGUAAAUUCAAAUUUUAUUAAUAAGAAAUGAAAUAGACCGUAAGCAAAAACAAAAUCCUACAACAACUCUAGGACUCUACACCUUAUAUAAAAAAAAACUAGGACUCUAUACCUCAGAGAAGCUAAACAAUCCAACAAAUAAAAUGCAAAAUAAAUCACAAUAACGCAAAUUAUGUUAAGCUAAUAAAUACUACCAUGCAACAAAAUUUUUGUCUUUGUCCCGCGUGAAACUACGAAGUCAAGAAUUGACUCCUUUAACCAGUAUUGCCAGCGGGGCUCCGUCAGCAAGAUACAACUUUGCAAUUUUAUACAAUAGAAAUCCUCAAAUAGCUAUUUUGACAGGCAAAUUAAGCAUUAAUUUUGGUAUCCCUUCAUAAAAUACAAGAGUACUUUUGAUUAUAUCUAUAGAUCAACUUUCUAGGCUUGAUGUAUUAUAAGAAAAAUCUGCCUAAACAUUUUGAUAGCAUUUUUCCAAAAGCAGAAGAUGGAAAAUUGCCCAUUUGUAAUGGGGAGUUCGUGAUCUUUUCCUCAUUCUAGUCUACUUACAAUUCUUGGAAAAAGGAAUACUCACAUCUCAAACAACAGCCAGCUCAUCUGCGCUGUCCUGCAGAAUUCUAGAAAGUUAGGUGGCAAUGUUAAUAACAUUUCAAAAUUGACUGCUGCGAUAACUAAUUCGAUGGCUUACUACAUGGUCAACGUUUGGAUCCCUUCCUGCCGGCACUGUCCUUUUUGGAUGCACAUUUUUUUUCUCUAGGUAAUAUAAUCACCCAACUCAUUUCUUUACAAAUGCACCUUUAAUCACCACCAAAAGGUGUGGACAUGAUCUUUACCCUAGAAAACUAUUCACCGACAGGCAAAUUGACGUCAGAAAUACUAAGAGGAAUUCUAGUUUCCUUCGGGUUAAUGCCAUUUUGUACCCUUCAACUGUAACUCGAUUUCUAAGCUGUAAUUUGUGACAUUAUAGUCCUUAAACUAUGAAACCCUUCUUACUUAAGUAUAAUGGUUAAUACAAUACUGGUGAUUAGACAAGUAUGAAGCAACCAUAACAAAAAAAAAUCCAAAAUUAGAGAAAAGAAAGAUGUUUCGCGACCAAAGUAUGUAUCAAGGCAUAGUAUAGAAAUAAAAGUGUCAAAAUUAAGAGUUUAGGGAUAAAAAAGAAUCAAGAUAUAGUUUAGGGAUUGAUUUGUCUCAAUUAGAGCUUAGGUGUCAACUAAGAAGAGAGAUAUAGUUGAAGGGUAGAAUAUAGAUAUAAAGGUUCAAUGAUUGAUAUCAGUGAGACAAUGAUAACUUUGGAUUAUUACCAACCUCUUCUGGAUGGGAAAAGGAAAUAGAGAAGAAAGUCGGGCCUGGUCUAAGCCUGUUUCGGAGGCAAAACAACAUUAUGAAAUCACCGGCAUUCAGACAAAUAUGUCAAAGUCACCGGCAUGCUAAGUUGCAAAAUUUAUACAAACACUUAAUAUUAUAUUGUUCUUAAAAUUUUUGUUUAAGAUUUAACAAUUAGAGCACGGUACACGAAUUAGAAAUAUUAAAUAAUGAAUGUUCACGAUUGAUAAAGUUAUCAAAGUACAGUUUGAGGACAACCCAUUCCAACGUGUACAAGAUGUUUAGCCUUUGAAAAGUUAAUUAGAGAAGGUGACGAGAUUUUACGAGGCUGACAUCAUCUAGGCCUCGAGAGUAAAAAAUGAAGACACUGAGCGCUAUAAAAAGAGGGCUAGAUGUUGCCUAGAAGCAUAUCAGCCUCAGACCACGUUUUGUAGCAAUGGGGAGCAAAGCAAAAGCAAUGGGGUCUAGGCUGACUCCUCUUCUUACCACCGUUUUAGUGGUAUUUCUUGCUCUUGGCUUGCCUUCAGAAACUGCAGCUGAUUACUACAAGUAUUCAUCUCCUCCUCCUCCUUACCAUUAUUCCUCACCACCACCUCCUAUGCAUUCACCCCCACCACCGCCAGUUUAUAAGUCACCCCCACCACCUUACCACUACUCCUCACCGCCACCUCCAGUGUAUUCAUUUCCACCACCUUUGCCAAUAUACAAGUCUCCGCCACCACCUUACCAUUAUUCCUCACCACCACCCCCAGUGCAUUCACCCCCACCACCACCAGUUUACAAGUCUCCCCCACCACCUUACCAGUAUUCCUCACCACCACCUCCGGUGCAUUCACCACCACCUCCUCCAGUUUACAAGUCCCCGCCACCACCUUACCAUUAUUCCUCACCACCACUUCCAGUGCAUUCACCUCCACCAUCACCGAUUUACAAGUCUCCACCACCACCUUACCAAUAUUCCUCACCACCACCUCCACUGCAUUCACCUCCACCACCACCGAUUUACAAGUCACCUCUACCGCCUCUUCCAGUUUACAAGUCUCCGCCACCACCUUACCACUAUUCCUCACCACCACCUCCGGUGCAUUCACCUCCACCACCACCGGUUUACAAGUCACCUCCACCACCUCCUCCAGUUUACAAGUCCCCGCCACCACCUUACCAUUAUUCCUCACCACCACCUCCGGUGCAUUCACCUCCACCACCACCGGUUUACAAGUCACCUCCACCACCACCUCCAGUUUACAAGUCCCCGCCACCACCUUACCAUUAUUCCUCACCACCAACUCCAGUGCAUUCACCCCCAUCACCACCAGUUUACAAGUCUCCGCCACCACCUUACCAUUAUUCCUCACCACCAUCUCCGGUAAAUUCACCUCCACCACCACCGGUUUACAAGUCACCUCCACCACCUCUUCCAAUUUACAAGUCCCCGCCACCACCUUACCACUAUUCCUCACCACCACCUCCAGUGCAUUCACCCCUACCACCACCUGAUAGGGUAUAAUUUGUUAGUAUUUUUAUUAUUAAUUUUCCCUUCUAUCCCUGACAAAUAUUGUGUUAAUUGCUGAUAUUUACUCAUAUUUGGUAUUUGGAAUCAAUUUCAGGAAUGAAGCAGAAAACUACCAAAAAGGAGGGACUUUGUGAAAAAUAUGGAGACUUCUAAGGGCUUCAAUCCUUGGGCCCUUGAAUUGGUGGGGGACCACAAGCUAGUGAAAGGCAUUUGGUCAUUUGGGCUUCAAAGAAAGCAACGUAGAGAGACUUGGAACAAGAAGUACUUGGGAGGCUUUGUCCACAUGUGUGGGGACCACCUAGAUAGCUUUUAGUCAUCUUUCUUUUGUUGCUUUAAAAGGGGACAACGUACAGAAGCAAAAGAUAUCUAGGGCUUUAGUUUUAGUUUUUAGUUUAGUUCUAGUUUUCUUUCUUUGGACUGGCCUCUGACACACGCCAGGUAUUCGACAAUAUUCCCCAACGGGGAGAUUUUCUCAUGAGGCGUGGUUAAGCUUUUCAAGGGGACACUGACGAUUUGGUUCAAUUUACUGUGAGAUCGAAUCUGUUUUAUUUUUUUCUUCAUUUUGGUUUUUAUAUGUUCCUUGAUUUUAAUUGCUAUGGCCUUGUGUAUGAUUGAUUAGUGCACAAUAAUUAAUUAUUCAUAUAGGCUAUUUUUGCUAAAUAGGGGUAAUUGAAUCCGUAAUUGUUCGUUAUCUCUACCUCAGUAGCAACUGGCGUAAUUGGGUUUAUGUCAGGGGAGCAUAUGAUCUAAUUUAAACAAACCCUCGUAGCGUAUUUGUUGGUUAGGAUUGGGCCUUUCUAAUUAUUAUGCAAUCUAGAAAUUAAAUCCUACGGUCGUACCUAGGGUUAUUUUUGGGUUAGAGAAAUAGCUAACGGUCGUACCUUAGCUAUCGAGAAAUUAAGGAAGGGUUGGUUGUUUAUCGCGUGCAUGACAACUAUAACUAAUCUAUUGCUAAAUGUUGGAAUUAUUUCUGCAUCAAUGAUCAGUGCCUGAACCAUUUCUGAAGUGUACCCUUGGCUAGAGUUUCUCUUAAUUAUUUCUUUUAAUCAAUUAUUUUCUGCACUUGAUUUAUUUAGUUAGCAUUUAAUCCAAGAACCUCCCAUACUCUGGACUCUAGAAGAAACGAAUUAUCCCCAAUCCCUGUGGAUUCGACCCUGCUCGCCGCUAUAUACAAAAUCUGUAUUUUUCUUGAGUAGGUAAUUAUUAUUGCACAGGUUCGGCACCUGUCACCACCAGUUUACAAGUCUCCGCCACCACCUUACCAUUAUUCCCCACUACCACCUCAAACGCAUUCACUCCCACCACCAGUUUACAAGUCACCGCCACCACGUUCUCCAGUAUACAAAUCACCUCCACCACCUCCUCUAGUUUACAAAUCUCCACCACCAUCAAUUGAUAAAUACAAGUCUCCUCCAGUGUACAAGUCAUCUCCACCACCUGCUUACAAGUCUCCACCUCCUUCAGUUUACAGUUCCCCACCACCACCAAUCUACAAGUCUCCACCUCCACCCUACCAUUACUACUACAAUUCUCCUUCUCCUCCUCCUCCUUCUCACUACUAAGCAGUUGUAUCCAAGUUUUUGAGGUAAUAACGCUUAACCAAUAAAUUAACUUUCGCAUGAUAAACCUUAUCCCUAUCAAGACAAACUGCCAUGUGUAUCAUGGCAAAUCCGUACACUUAGAUCCAUGAAAAUGAGUGGUAGAAGGUUUUCUUAAGAACCAAGGAACAGCAAUAGUAUUCCCACUGCUUCCAAAAACUUGUGUAUUAAAUAGAUUAACGAAUUGUUUAACAUGCUUAUCUACUUGAAAAUGCACAAUACCCAUAACCCAUUGAAAUUUUUGCAGGAAAAGGGGAAGAGAAUCUGUGUUUGAGAGCUUCAUGAAGAUGUUGAAGAAUAAGAAUAAAAGCCCAAUGCGAGGAUGUUUUCAAGUUUUUCUAUGUUUCCACUUUAAUUUGUAAAUUGAAUUUUGCGACUCAAUUAAUUCCCUGUUUGUGGGGUACAUAUUGUUUUACGUACCAUGCCGUACAUGUUUGUAAGGAUUUCUAUCCUAUUGGCAAAAGUCGGUUCCAUACAAUUAAUCAAUUCAUUUCACUUCUAUUGGCUCUACUAUUUAUGCAUGUUACGACAUUUUUUCUCUCUUUCCCUUAUAUUUUGCCUUUAAUAUUAUUGAGUCAAUAGUAAAAUUAUACUAUUAUAAAUAGGUAGUUUGGUCUAACGCUAAAUUCAUGUUUGUCUUUCUUUUAUUCCCUUUACAUCUCAAAGUAUACCAUAGUUUGUGAUCAUUGUGGUGAUGAUACACUACAACAAAAAUGGCCUUUCCUGACAUGUCUAUAAGGACACUUGCUGGUUUUUGUCAUUAUAGCACUUCUAUCAUGACAUUUGUUAUCAAUUCACUAAUUUAUACUUUUUUUUAUUUUAUCUGAUAUAAAAAUAAUAAUGUGUCUUUAGAUUUCCUAUCAUGGCAUUUUAGAAAAUGUGAGAUACAACGAAAAAAUUAAAACAUAAAACGAUGUCGUUUGAUUUUGACGGAAGAUUCAUUUGCCAAAACACUUAGUGAAAUCUCAAAACUUUCAUUGUGUCGAUUCUUCUCCUCUCUCUCACAAACCCUCUCUCUCGGCAGACUAUCUCUCAAAACUCCCCCAUUUUGGUUCUUUUGUCUUCCGCCUUCGCCGCCGCCCCACUCCUCCAUUUUCGGUUGCUAACUUGGCCGCUUCUCUGCCCUAUUCGGUCAACCACGACACCUACACCAAUAAGUCUUCGCUCUCUUUGCUAGGACAAAAGGAAUAAAAAAACAGAUACUCAUGUUCUUUCCUUUUUCUUCUUUCCUCUGAAACCGAUCCCCAUGCUUCUCCGUACUGACUAGAUAUUCAGGUUGAGCGUGUUGAGGAGUAGAGUAGGCGAAGGUUGCCGCCAUCGUCUCAUUGAAGUCCAGCCACUACAGCGGAAAUCAUCACUGUAAAGUUUCCCGUACUCUUAUACCUUUUUUCCCCCUUAAUUGUAUUGUUUUCUUCUUUGUCUGCAAUCAUGUCGGUUAUGCUUUACUUUCGUCUUGUUAAUCGAUUUUAAGUGGCUGGAAUUGAUCAUAGGUUUGAGUAGAGUUUUAGAUUUAAAAUUCAAGCUCAGGCCGUAUAAGGAACUGAUGAAAAAGAAAUUUCAAAACUUUUCAUCCUCACUACUUGUUUGUCGGAAGGUUCGAAUGAAGAAAGAAGGAAAUUUGCAAUGGAAGUGAACAGAGAGAGAUGAAAGUGAUUGGAGAGUGAAAUUUUGCCUUGGUGAACUUUUCUUUUGUUUUUGAUCAUCAAGUGCAAUAGAAAAGUACAUUUAGUACAAUUUCCUAACUAUCUUAGAGGAAAUCUUGUUUGGAACUUUCGCUGGAUGCUAUGCAACUUAUUUUUGAUGCUUUGGUCAUGAUUGUUGUUCUGUUUGCUACAGCCCCAUAAGAAGGUUUUUUUUUAAUUAUUAUUAAAAAUUACCGCAUAGCUUGGAUACUUUUGCAUUCCAUGCACCAUGUCAGCUAUUCAUAGCACAUAGCACUAAAGUAGAGCACUCUGUAAUUUUGGAGAUGUUUCAUCUACGCAUUCAAUUAUUUCGAGUUUUUAGUCCAAUGGGUAAUAAAUUGGUUGUACAUCACUUAUUAUGUUGCAUCCCAGUUAUAUUGACCUAGAACAAUUACCAUAUAGACAAAAAGAAGAUAUUAACUGCAGCAAAUUGAAGAAUAAAAAGAGUAUUUGUCAAAUCUUUUCUCCCAACAUCCCUCGUAAUUCUUUCCCCCAACCUCAACUUAGGCACACAUUGUGUCUCUCCUUUUCUUCUUCAAACUAAAUGUUCUUCUCAUGGACAAAUAAGAAUAAUUUGAAUUUAUGAGGAUACAGAGGAAGAGAAUGAAGAUGGAGAAGUUAAUUGUUAUAACUCCAGUUAUGAUAAAGUUGAAGAUGACUUUACAUAAGAUGGAUUAAGUGACUAGUGCUCUAUUGUAAGAUGCUGGGUGCAUAUCUUAAUUUCUUUGAAUUGACUUUAUAUCUCAAAAAAAAAAAAAAUUGAAGGGAUUCUAUAUUUAUUUGACUUGUGUGGUAUUUAUUUGUGUGACUGUCUUGUUUUUUGUCUGCUUUUAUGAUCUAGAGCAUUGAUUACUCUAUAUUUUUAGACAAGAAUAUAUUGUUUUUGUUGUAGAAUUUCUGUAGAAAAAAUACAGAUCUUGCACAUUAAACCCAAUGGGGACUGUUUGCACUAUAAUGCAUUAUGGGCAACUAACAAAUUGGGAUUUGCUAGCCAUUCAAUAUUUUGUAAAUCCUCUGCAGUGUAACAUACUGGAAAUUGCCUUUCAGUUACAGUCUCCAGCGAAGUGUCCUGAUUUAGUCUUUCAAGUUGGAAUGUGACUAAUAGUUUCUUAUCUUUUAAAAGUUUGCCAAUUUCAGGAGGAUUGGUUACAUAGUUUUUUAAGAUUUCUUUCCUCCAGUGGGCACUUAAAAAAAUAGUGAUUAUUGAGUGCUUUGAUCUGUUGAAAUUUAAUUGAAAAUUUUCCGAUCAUUAAUUGACACACUUCAAAAUACUAAUGACUACAUAUGUCAAAGCACAACCUAGGAAAUUAUAUCAGCACGUGCUCCGAUUGUAUGGUACUAAACUUGCAGUGCUUCCACAAAGAAUGUGAAGAGCACAUAUAUACUGAUCAUUGAAAAGAUAGAUUUCUAUUAUGAUUCUGCUAAUGUUUGAAGCACUAAAUGUGAAAUUGCUAUCUAUUUUGAAUGAGUAUCUGUUUCUAUGAAAACUUUGGACAAAUAUGCAUAUGACAAUAGUUUCUAAUGAAGUUACAAACGAUGCUGAACCUUUGGCAUUAUACCAAGAAGGUGUUAAUCAAGUUAACUGGUUACACUUCUAAGCCCUUGCCUGUGGGCAGAAUCUGAGCUAGCUUUAUUCAUUUGUAGCAAGAAGUAAUUUUGCAUGCCAAUGCCAUGCAUUGUUGACUAACCUGUCGCAUUCAGUGUUUGGACAGGUGGGAGUAUAUUGGCGGCACUUGGUUCCUUUCAGCAAAUUUGGUUUUCAAAAUCUGAGUAAGCUUUUACAUCUACUCUACCUUUCAAUAUUCAACUUUUCUUCUUUUUUUCUCCCCAUUUUCAGUCUGUUUUAUCUCUCGAUUAAUAGGUUUGAGGAACAUGGAACUUCUUAUGUUCAAAGAAAAUGCCCGUAAAGUACUUUACUGGUGCGGACAAUUAUCACAUUAGACAGAAAUUCAUGGAGCUGACUUCACUUUGAUUAGUUCGCUGACGGUAUGGGUUGCUCGGUUUUAAUAUCCUGCUUUAUAGGAGCCCAAGCAAUGUACUAUAUAUAUACUAUACCUCUCGCGGAUCGUUGCUAAUGUUGUACAAUUACGUUACCUGACUUUUAGCAUUUCUUUCAACUGGUUAGGGAUGAGAGUCUUUUUGUUUGUGCACAAGAAAGUCUUUCAAGUUAUUGUAAAUGAGAAUCUUUCGGUAAUUUUUUGGGAUUUUAGUACUUGCUUUGAGCAUUUGUUUGCGAUUUUAGUACUUGCUAUGUUUGUACUUGUUAUUGACUUUUAAUUCAAUGAAUUAUAUUUGAGUAUCGACUUCUUCUUUUAAAUUGCUAUAUGCAUUCUGCCUUUUGGGAUAAUUUUACAAGUCCCUUGGGAUUCUGGUUGAUGGAAUGUACAGCAGGGAGGACUAAUUACAGGUUGCUUCCAUAUGAAAAAAAAACAGGAAAAAACUCCUGGCAAUUAGAAGUGUCAGCAUAGCUUAGCUUCAAAAAACACUAAUGACAAAUGGGCAUGUCAUCCAAAGCAGUGUAAAUUCACAUGGCUACGUGUCCUUAAAGCCAUAUAUUAAGACAAUUCAAGAUGCCUUCAUAAAUUGGAUAUACUACUAAUCCGCUACUGAUGUUCUAAUGCUAUACGGACACUUUCGAUUAUCACAAAAAAAAGUUUUUGUUGGCAGAGGGAAUGCUAUAGCAGCAUGGUUUUCCUGACACAUUUGAAUGUUGCCAAAGAUUUGAGGCUAUCCCCACAUUGGAAGGGACAACACUCGCCCUAGGUGUGAGGAUAGAUAAAAUGUCAGGUUAGAUUAUCUAUACUGACACCUUUAAAUGCCGCUAAAGGCCAUUUUUGUUAUAGUGAUAUUACCGGCUGGUACAUAUAGUUUAAGGCAAAGACAUGAUAUUAACCUAUCUCAUUGAAACAUAAGGAAAAAUCAUGACAAGUGUGAGUCUUGGAUAAUGCACAAUUUGUAAGUGGAAUUUAUACUUAUAAAACUCAAAAAAAAAAUUUCACAAUGCUAUUACUAAUUAAUUAAGGACUUUAUUGCUAUAAUUUAUCGCUUACUAGUUUAAACUGUAAAUGAUCUCAAUAUUUUUCUCCGUGAUGUCGAUUUCUUUAGACUACGAAAGGGAAAAAUUAGUGACGUAUCCCCUACUUAGUUAUAAACUUUUCCAGUGGUUUUAAAUCCCUCGGGCUAAGGACGUACACUUGAUCCAUGAAAAUGACUAGUAGAAGAUUUUUUUUAAGAAUCAAAGAAAUGCAUUAUUUUUUCGGUCUGUUUUCAAGAAUUUGAGCAGUAUACAGAUUAAAGAGUGUUUUUUUUUAAACUUGCUUAUCAACAUAGAAAUGCACAUAGCUGAAAGCCAACUGAAUAUUUGCAGGCAAAGGAGAAGGCAAUCGGUGUUUGAGACCGUCAAGAAGAUGUAGAAGAAUAAGAAUAAAAGCCCAAUGCGAGGAUGAUUCCAAGUUUCUACGUUACUAUUUCUACAUCUAAAUUGACUUUAGCUCCUGAGUUCCAUGUUUAUGGGGUUUGUACCGUUUUACGUACCAUGCAGUACAUGCUUGUAAGGUUUUCUGUCCUGUUGGCAAGCCGCAAGUCCAUAUAAUAAAUGAAUACUAUUUAUAUUACGACACUUUUCUCUCUUUCUCUUAUAUUUUGUCUUUAAUAUUGUUGAUCAUUUUUUUUAUCAAAAGUAUCAAAUGCUUAGGUAAUUUGGUCUAAUGCUAAUUGUUUUACUUUUAUUUUUCACCUACAUCCCUUUUCAACUCAAAGGAUGCUACAGUUUGUGAUCAUUGUUUAAGACCGAAGCAUGGUACUAAUAAAUAUCUCAUUGAAAGUCAAGGAAACUAACAUUAUGAAAAGUGUAAAUCUUGAUUUGAUGAAACUAUUUAUUCGUGGAAUUUAGAGAUACAAAACUCAAAUUGUGACGGUGUUGCUGCUAAAUUAUUAAGGACAUUAUCACCAUUAUUUUUCCCUCACUAGUUUCAUCUGCAAUGAUCUCAAUCUUUUUGUAUUGAUCGGUUGUAAUGAAUCGCGAUUGAUUGGUUGUAAUCCGCUUGUAUUGAUCCCACUAUUGUGGAUACUUCUACGCUCAACAAAAAAUAUAUAUAUUAAAGAAUUAGCAAUAUUUUUUAGAACAAGUUAAAUUUAUUCAUACAAAUUAGACAAAGAAGUAUUUUAAAGACCAUGAUGAAAUUAAUACUUCCAAGGUCUCUAUUAGGAAGACUUCCUUGCCUUGAGUUGCAGUUGCGUGCAGAUGUUUAUAUUUCAAAUUGAUGGUAUAGUAAAAAUGUUGAAUUUCUUUAUCCCCGUGACUUCAAAAAUAUGAACUCAAGAAAUUAACUUCUUAACCAGUAUGUCAUACAAGCUUCACAAGAAAUGUAUAACUUUGCAACUAGAGUCAAUAGAAAUCGUCACAUAAUUAUUAAUUUUACAUCGAAAUUAAGCCUGUAUGACAUACUGGUUCGAGGUUUGGCCACGCUACCUUCCUAUUGUUUAAAAAUUCUCACAUAAUCCCUUGUACUUUGGACUAAACUCGAAUGUGAAAAGAAACCAUCCAAGCUAGUUUGGGAUACACUUGUUGCACUUUGAACUAAACUUGAACGUGAAAGGAAAUCCCAAAACCAUAUUGGGCAUGAAUUCACACUUAAUAGACCCAAAAAAAGAUGGCGACUGGUGAUGGAGGUGAAAGGCAGUGGGGACUGGUGGAGAGAUUUGAGGAAUAGAAGCAGACGAAAAAGCAACAAAUUUUUGCCAAAAAACGGUGACUUUCAUGGUUAAUAUUGCUACUCUCUAAUUGUACUUGACCAAUACAACAGUGAAAUUGUAAUUUAUGCUGAAGAUGGAGUUUGAUACGUGAAGAGAAUUUUUUAUAAAUUUUAUUUUGACCCAUAAUGUUAUCUUUAGAUACAAAAAAUAUUUUAAAAUUUUGAUUUUGGCCCGGUUAACUUUUGGUAAACAAAAAAUGCUCAUGCUUAGUGACAGGUUGUCGAUGCCUGUGCAAAAAUAAAAAUAAAUCUAGUUGCCAAUUAAAAUAAUCAGAGCCCAAUUCUGAGUACUGGAGCAGGGACUCUAGGUGUGCAAUGGGUUACUUGAUUCACUCUAUUUCCGAAGAGUUUGCUUAACCCGAUAUACCAGAAUGGGAUUGCUUAUUCAAAAGGAAUUGUUGAUUUGUAAACAGGGCAAGUAGGGUCGUAUUCUCAGGUGGGCUGGCGGUGCGCGGUCAAUCGACGGAGAAAGAGAGGAAAGGACGCGGGUGGAGGUUUUUGGGUUUUGGCCAAGAGAAGAGGGAACGCAGGGAAAGAGAGAGAGAGGGGCGGUGCUCGGGAAGGUGAGCGGCGGACGACGGCUAGGAGGGAAAAGGAGGAGCGGCGUGCGAAGUUAGAGAGGAGGAGGGAGGCGGCAUACGAAGGAAAAAGAAAUCAAGGAAGAAGAAAGAAAGAAAAGAGGAAGAAAGAAAAGAAGAAGGAAAAAAAAUAGUUUUUGGGUUUUUUUUCAAUUUUUUUUUAUUUUUUUGAAUUUAAAUGUCAAAUUUUGAAUUUUUGAAAAAAAAAACUGAAGGUUAAAAAGGAAAAUAAUUUUAUUUUGCUAAAAAAAAAUUUUUAUUUUUUUAUUUUUUUUUGUUUUGGAUCGUCAAACACAGCGUGGGCACGCCAAAAUUAUAAAACGUCCACUGAUCUUGGGAGUCACUGACACGGCGUGGGCACGCCAAGAUUUCACUUCCUGCCAACGUCGCGAGAUGUUGAAAUUGUACUAACAUGGCGUGGGCACGCCAAGAUUGGUAAACAUCCACUGGCCUUGGGAGUCACUUUUUGAGUGUCCUCCUCGCGUGGGCAUGCCAAGAUUCUAUGUCCUGGUCACAUUGGAGAAAAAUAUGAAAAUUGACUAGUACCCAAAUGAAAAACGACAAAUCGAAAGAAUUGAACAACAAAAAAUAAUAAAGCUAAUAUUUGGGUUGCCUCCCAAAAAGCGCCUUUUUUAACGUUUUUUGUUAGACGUUGAACACCACUCUUCAAUUUGGAUGUAAUUCAAUUUUCCUUGUAAUCGGUGGUCCUACUCCGGGUUCCAAAUAAUCAUUGAGUGCAGCCUUCUUUCUUUAUUUUCUAUUCAUUUUCACCUCAUAAAUUGCUUUCAUUCCCUGAUAUUUGUUCGCAAGAAUUUUGAAUUUACCCCUACAACCAAACUCAAAAAAUUCUUGCACAAAGGAAUUAGUAGCAUGAAUAGCAAACACAGAAUGAGAGUUAACAGUAUGUUUUAUUGUAUUAAAAAUAUUAAAAUGGACUAUUUCUCCAUCGAAUUCCAUUGUGAGAGUACCCUUACUAACAUCAAUCUUAGUUUGGAUAGUACUCAAGAAUGGCCUUCCUAAUCUAAUGGAUGAUGGAUUUGGGACACUUUCAUCAUCCAUAUAAAGCACAUAAAAAUCAGCAGAAAAAAUUAAUCCAUCUACUUGCACUAAAACAUUCUCAACUACCCUAUCUGAAUAAGUAAAUAUACGAUUAGCCAAUUAAAUUAUUAUCCCUAUUUCUUUUAAAGAUCCUAAAUUUAGGGAAUCAUAAAUUGAUUUAGGCAUCACAUUAAUAGAAACUCCUAAAUCUAGCAUGGCAUUUUUUAGAUUAGAAUGUCCAAUCUUACAUGGGAUAGUAAACAUACCUAGAUUCCCGUAUUUAGGUGGUAGUUUCCUUUGUAAAAUUGCUGAAAUGUUCUCAUCUACCACAAUAUGCUUGUCCUCCCUCAAUUUCUUCUUGUUGACACACAAGUUUUUCAAGCAUUUAGCGUAUUUUGGCACUUAUUUGAUCGCGUCCAACAAAGGAAUAUUGAUUGCCACCUUGCGAAAAAUGACGGAAUUUUUAUAUCAAUGCAAGUUUAAAUUCGAUUUUAUACCCGUUGACUGCAAGUAUACAGGCCGAAAUUGUAAUGUAGGGUAUGUAUCGGGUCGAUCCCACGAGGAGCAAAUUAAACAAGUACUAAGCCCUUAUUUUUCUCUAUUAUUUAGACUCACAAUAAAUUUGAACAGAGAAAGUAUAUUGCUAAAAUUUACAAAUUUGAUAUACAAAUAUAAUUUAACAAAUGCUAAAUGCAAAAGAAGAAAUUUCACUCAAGGAAGAAUUUAGGGAUGUAGAUUCCACUUAUGGCAUAAACAACACAAAUGAAUGGAUUUACCUCUUAUUAUUAUUCUUGUUUAACUAGGGAUUCAUUUCCAAAAUUAUCAAGUCUCAUUUUCAUGAUGAAAUGGCCUAGACCAAUAUAGUUUUCCCUAUUUUCAUGGUGAAAUACUACUACUACUCUGUUUUAUUUCAUGAAAUGCUGAAUAAUCCACCUAAGUGUAUCUCUAUUUUCAUGAACAUACAACUUAAGCUCUACUCAUUUAUUUCCAUUGUUACUACCAAUUCUCAUUGAAUAAUAACAACUAUAAACAUACUAUUGGUGAUCAAUCAAUAACAAGUAAUCACAACUACACAAGUAAACAAGUUAAUACAAAAUAUAACAAGUGUAAAUCACAUUCAAGUCAUAUUAUUUAGCCAUAAGUUUCAUCUACUUCCUAGAUAAAGAAAAUUAGCUACUCAUGAAUGAUUUAACAAUCAAACUCACAAGUUUAUUAAUGCAAAAUAUCAUAAAGUACAAGUACAAGAAAGAUAAAAGAAAUCUUAGCCAAUUGAUGGUGAAUCCCUCCAAUUUCUGCUAUGUUCUUGUACAAGAUGAUUACAACUGAAAACUCCAAAUGCUUCUCUAAGGACUCCUAGCUAGAGAGAAAAUGUUACAAGAAGGAAAAACUAGCUACGUAUGGUCCUGUCCUGCUUCUCCCCUGUGUUUUUGCAUAAAAGGUAGUAGAAAGUCUAUUUUCCUCUUCAUAAUUUCCUCCAUUCAGAUUUUGUAAAAAGAAGUCAAAGAUAUGAUGUUUCCUUUUUUCUACAACUCAUUUGGUCUUCUCUUUUGUUGCAGAAGCAUGUGCCACCGAUUUCUAUCCCUCAAAAUAGUUGAAAAAAUUGUGAGAAAGGUAAAGAAAAACAGCUGUGUCACUUGCUGAGCAGAGAGACAAAUCCGAGCCUCGGAUCCGGGGGUGAAACUGGAUCCGAGGACUUCCCAAGGUGGAUCCGAGGUCGGAUCGUUCUGACCUUGGAUACACUCCUCCAAAAGUACAUACGAGGGCUCGGAUCCCUCUUGUUCACACGGAUCCGAGCUCGAAUCCGUGUUGAUUAAAUUUUCAGUUUUUCACUUCUUUCCUUUUUCUACAUUUUUGCUCCCAAUUUCUUUUGUACUUUGUCCUCUGGAUGAUCCUUGCAUUUCUUUCAACUUCGUGCACGAAUUUCAUACAUCAAUAACCUUCACAAUUUCACAAAAUUAACUCAUUAAUCCACUCAUUUAUCAAGUUUUGAACACUUAAACAAUAUUUUAAGUAAUUAUCACUAAAAGAGUUCAAAUAUGGCUUUAAUCUUCUCAAAACAUGCCAAAGAUUCAUGCCAAAUCUGUACAAAAUGUACGUUAAAUAUUCACUUAUCAAAAAACCUCUAAAAUCUCCUUUUCUUUAUCUUGCUUCUUUGAUUUCUCUAACCUGCUCGGAAAAGGCGGUAAGUUAGUUCCAACUCUAAUUAUAGAAUCAGGAAUUAUCUUUGGAUUCGCAUUUCUCAUUCCUUCCUCCUCAAGCUCUUUGUCAAUUCAAUCUUCAUUUUUAUCUUUCGGAAUCACAAGUUCGGAUCUCUGAAUUUUCUUCCCGUUCCUUAAGAUCAUUGCACUUACAUUUUUCAGGUUCAGUUCAGGUUGAGACGGUAAUUUUUCAUAAACUUGGGAUUCCAGGCGGUUGAUUGCUAUUGCCAUCUAACUCAUCUGAUUCUGCAUUACUUGCAUCUGUCCCAAUUGAUUUUUCAUACUUUGUAGGUCAGAAUCCAUUUUUUGUUGAUUAGCAAUUAAUUGCUUCAUCAUCUCUUCUAUAGACAGACUUGAGUUUGAAGGAGGUGGUGGCGGGCGAGACUGAUACUGUUAUUGAUACCCUUGCUGUCUAUUUGGUGUAAAAUCUGGCUGCCUAUUUCCUCCAUAGUUGAGGUUGGAAUGAUCUCUCCAACCAGGAUUGUAUGUAUUCGUGUACGGGUCGUAUGGCUUUCUUAGCACGGGCGCGUAACCAGCCAUGUUCACUUGCUCCGUACUUUUCUCUUGAAUCAUUGAGCACAUCUCUGUAGAAUGACCCAUAGCAGUGCAGAUCCCACACAAUUUGGCUCGUGAUGUAUUUCCUAUAGCUAAUUGCCUAACAAAGGAUGUUAAUUCGGUCAACUGCUAUUGGAUGGAAUAUGUCUCUACCUCAUUUACUUUGCGUGUCGGGACAUCUUCCCUCGUAUCAAACUGUUACGAAUUCUCCGUCAUUCCUUCAAUUAGCUCCUACGCUUCUCAAGAAAUUUUGUUCACCAAUGCCCCUUCACUUGCAGCAUCAAUUAUACUCCUGUCUCUAAAAAACAGCCCCUCGUAAAAAUAUUGGAUGAGCAAUUACUCACUUAUUUGGUGUUGAGGGAACUUGAUGCAUAACUUCUUGAAUCACUCCCAAUAAUCAUAAAGCGACUCUUCUAGAUACUGCUUGAUACCGCAUAUCUCCUUCCUUAGGCUUGCAGCUCGAGACGCAAGAAAAUAUUUGUUCAAAAACUUUUUCUUCAACUGAUCCCACGUGGUGAUGCUACUUGGUGGUAAGUAGUACAGUCAGUCUUUUGCGGAGUCCUUCAAGGAGAAGCAGAAUGCUCUCAUUUUUAUCUGUUCUUCUGUAAUUUCCGGAGGUUUCAUACUGUUGCAAACGACAUCAAACUCUUGCAAAUACUUAUACGGUUCCUCACCUGCUAAAUCAUAAAAAGAUGACAAGAGAUGAAUUAGACCAGAUUUUAACUCAAAUGGAGUGGUUAUCAUUUAAAUAUGGAAAAGUAAUACAUAAGGGCUGCUGUUUUAAAUCAGGAGCAGCAAACUCCCUUAGUAUCCGUGCAUUAGCCAUAGUGACUUCUUCUCGAUCCGAGUCACUAGAAGUAUCACUAUGUGAAUCUGUUAGUUCAACUUCUGGCUUAGGUCUUUGAGAUGAAGCACUGGAGUGCUCUUCUCUAAGUUGUCCGGUCUCUUUCCUUAUUUUAUGCGCAGUCUUCUCUACCUCGGGGUCAAAAAUUAAUUCACCUGUAUGAGAAGAAUGAGGCAUAUACUAGGAAAGCACUAGAAAAUUAGAACAAAAAUGAACCUAAAAAGAAACAAAUAAACCAACACCAGUCCCUGACAACGGCGCUAAAAAUUGACAGGUUAUCGAUGCCUGUGCAAUAAUAAAAAUAAACCUAGUUGCCAAUUAAAAUAAUCAGAGCCCAAUUCUGAGUACUGGAGCAGGGACUAUAGGUGUGUAAUGGGUUACUUGAUUCACCCUAUUCCCGAAGAGUUUGCUUAACCCGAUAUACCAGAAUGAGAUUGCUUAUUCAAAAUGAAUUGUUGAUUUGUAAACAGGGCAAGUAGGGUCGUAUCCUCAGGGAUUGGAAAAAAUUUGUUUCUUUUCAAAUCCACAGUAACAAGGAGGUGUUUUUGUAUAAACGAUAACAAUCUAAGGAGUGCAAAUAGAAAUAAAUAGAUAACUAGAAAUUAAAUGACAAUUCACUAAAAUUAGAAUAAUAAUAAUUAAAGGUCUAGCCAAGAAAUAAUUUCAGCAAUGGUUCACCUAAUUGAUCAUCGACGCAAAGGCAAUUCCAAUUAUUUACUAAUAAAUAGAUUAUAACUGUCAAACAAGUGAUGAUAGUCAACCCCUCCUUACUGUAUCAGUGAUUAAGGUAUGUCCGUUAAUCACUGCUAUAAUUGAGAAAUAAUCUUAGGUACGUCCGUAAGAUUUAAUUCCCCAAUUGCCUUACGUAUUAGAGGAGCCCUAUUCUAACCAAAUAACGCACUAUCAGGAUUAUUUUAAAUUAGCCCAUGUAUUCCCUUGAUACAAACCCAAUCAUGCCAGUUGUCACUAUUUCAAGGCAAUGAAACAAUUACGGAUUUAAUGCCCUAAUUGACUAUAGGUUACUAAAUCAAUUCACUAUCUCGAUCCAAGAUAAUCAAUCAAUUUAACAACUAAUAGCACUGCAAUCGGAGAAUAUGUAAAUACCAAUAAAUAAGAGGAAAAGAUAAAAUUAAAUCGAUCUCACAAUUUUUAGACAAACCAAAGCAUCAGUUAUUUCUUGACUAGAAAAGAAAAUUUAGUUCAUUCCUAAUGCGAAAGACCCACGCGAGAAUUCAAAAAUAAUAUUCACGGACAUCGUCUUGAUCCAGUAGAUUCAAUUGCGUUGGAAUAAGGAUAAAAAACCAAACUACAGAGAGUGAUUCAUUGUUUUGUUUCGUCUGCACUUUUUCUACACAUACGGAAGAAGAAAAACAACUAAAGGAUGAAAAAAGAAAAGUCAAAGAAAGCCACCCAAAGUAGUGCUUGGUCUCUACCAUCCUAUUUCCUAUCUAAUUACUACUUCCCUUCUGCGGCUGCCUAGAGGAAGAAAGAAAAGGAGACUCCAGGUCUUGUUCCAUCUCCUCCCUUUUCGGCAAUUCCCCAAAAGUAGAAAAGUUCCUCCGUUUACCAAAAUGCCCCUGGAAUGAGGACCGCUACUUGAACUCAUUUCCUGAUGACUGUCAAAUUGACACUUGUUAUGGUAUUUGCGUUCCACUCCCUGUAAUAAAUGCAAAUUGUCAAAAGUGAGUAAAAUUUGACAAUUAAUUUAAAUCGGGUCAGGUAAUAGGGGAAAUUAAUUAUAAAAUAAAUGAUAAAAUUGUAACCUAUCACUUAGAAUAACUAGAAAUAAAACAAAACAAGAAAUGAAAGAAAUAAGAGGGGUAGCAUAGACAUUUUGGAUUUUUCUGUUAAUUUGGAUGAUUUCCACCCACGGUCUAAUUUAAUCCAAAACACAAAUGGAUUAUGUGGAGGUUUUUAAACAAUGAGGGAGUAUCAUGAUCGAAUUCUAAAACACAAAGGGGAUUUACUAUAUUUUACUCUUAAAUUUUGGUUUCAUCUCAUAGCAUACAAGAGUACUAUUUCACUGUCUGUCGACAAAGAUUUUCUAUGGUUGAUGUACCAUAGGAAAAAUCUGCCUAUACCAUCAUUUGGAAAAAUUAUCAAUCCAAACAUAGCCACCAUAGCAUUUUUUCAAAAACACAAGAUGGAAAAUUGUCCCCUUAAACGUUGAAAUUCAUGAUCUUUCCUCGACCUAGUCUACUUGUCAAUUCUUGAAAAAAGAAUAGUCACGCCUAAAACACGGCCUCUUCAUCUGCAGAAUUCUAAAAAGUUAGGUAAACUCUAUAAACAAGUUGAUAGGUACAAUCGUACCCAAGAUCAAGUACAGGUAUUUGUACAUUCACUGCUGCAAUAACUAAUCUGAUGACUUACAAACACAUCAUGGUCAAUCGUUGAAUGGUAAUGAGUCUUUUGUUAUGCAUUAGUAUUAGUGUGUACACUCUAAUAGAUUGAUACUUAUACACUUUAAAUUAUCAUAAUAAUACCCUUAAUUAACUUUAACUCUUAAAAAGAAUACGUGUUAAUACACGAGAGUGUGUAAUAGAACGGCAAGCAUUAUGGUGGUCAUUGAGCAACUUAUAGGAGAAAUAGUCCUAUAAGCUGUUCAAUGACCAAUCACAACUUGCUAAUUGGAUGACUAAUAUAGCUCUAGCUGUAAUGUUUUAAUUAAAUUCCAUCACUAACGUUGGGAUGACUUUUUAACCAAAAAAAAAAGCCUUAGUUCAAGCUCUUCCCUUUAUUGUGCAUUUUUUAAAACAUUUGAUAGGCACUGCAAAUCUGUCAUUUUGGACAUUUUAUUAUUAACUAACCAUGAAAGCCGUGGACAUCAACCCAUAUCCAACAGAAUAUUAAAUUAAUAUUAGAAAAAAUUAUUAAGUAAUUGGAAAAAAAAAAGAAGAGACUAAUUUUCAUUGAAACCCACCGACAAACUAUACGUGUCCAUAGCUUUUGAUUAGUGCAUUCAACGUUUAAUUGUAUAGUCCAGUUCAUAGCCGAUUACAUGGAGUAAAGAUUGUGCUCUUUCCUUUUUCACCCCUUUUGGAAUCGAUACUGUGGAGAAUUGGGUUUUUCCCUCCUUUUUUUCUUUUCUUUCCUUCUGUGCUUUGCAAAACAUAGGUAAAAAUAUGAAAUCCGAAGCAUUCUUUAAUUGGGAUUAAGUAUUGUUCUUGAAAUUAAAAAGAAGAAAGAAAGAACAACAAAAAUCCCAAUCUGGGUUGAUUGUUGAGCUCUAGUUUGGCGGCAUCGUGCUUCCAUAGAAGUUCUCUUAGUGUGAUACGCUGCUUUCAAUCAGUUUAACACGGGAAAAAGAAAAGACAUGAAAAGCAAAUUUUGUGGGGAUAAUUUCAGAAAUCUCUCCUGAAGUUUUUUACUAUUUUACUGGCCUCCUUUCAAAUUUUAAAAAUUACACUAGUCUUCCUUGAGAUUAUUUAUCUUGUAACAUUUAGGUCCAAUCAAUAAUUAAAAGAUGAUAUUAUGAGAGAGAAAAAAAUAUGAUUUUAUCAUUGCCCCCAUCUUACUACAUUAUUGAAUUAAUUUAAUAGCAACCCACACAUUAAAGAAAAAUACUAAUAUUUGCUGUUUUUCAUUGAAGAUCAAAUCACAUGUGCCAUAAAAUAUAGUAUAUCAUUUUAUAUAUUUCACUUAAUGUAAGAUCCAAAUUAUUCUUUUCAAUUACAAAUCCAUUGUUAUUAUAAAAAAAAAAAUAAACUUUAACAUCAUAAAUAUUCUUAUCAAAAUAUUAAAGUUAGUUACUAAAAUUUUUAUGGUGUUAAAGUUCACUCUUUGUAAUAUUUAUGGGUUUGUAAUUGAAAAGAAUAAUUUGGAUCUUACAUUAAGUGAAAUAUAUAGAAUGAUAUACUAUUUUUUAUGGCAUAUGUGAUUCAAUCCUUGAUGAUAAAAAGCAAAUUCAAGUGUUUUCUUUAAUGUUUGUGCUGAUAUUAGAUUAAUUAAAUAAUUUAGUAGAUGAAAGAAAAUAGUGAAAUCAUAUUAUUUUUUCUUUCCUAAUAUCACUUUUUAAUUAUUGGUUGAACUUAGAUAUUACAAAAUAAUAAAUCUCAAGGGAGAUUAGUAUAAUUUUCAAAAUUUGGAGAGAAGCUAAUGAAAUAAUCAAAAACCUUAAGGGAGGUUUACAGAAUUAUCCCAAUUAUGUGGGAAUUAGAAUAAUUGUACUGGACGGCACUGCUGCAAUAGAGGGAAAGAGGAGAAGGUGCAGUUAACUUUUGUUGUUUGAAAUCCUUGGCGAAAUAUUACAGAAAGACAGAUAAAACGGUGGUUAGUACAUAAAUGUUUAUGACAGGGAAAAUGGUACGUCUGUUAAUCACAUUUGAAACAUUUUCAUUGGUGAAUGACCAAAAGUAUCAGGCUUGUCCAAUAGUUGAUCAUUGACCAAGAUAAAACCUGCCAUGGUAGAGCCGUAGAGGUACGAUCUUUUCGUACCUCUUAGUGCACAGGACAUUCCUUUGUUUCAUCUAGCUAAUAAUCUACCAACUCAUUUCUUCACAAAUGCACCUUUUAUGGUCACGUCUACGAAAGCCUUUACAGGAUCUUUACCCUAAAAAUCAAUUCACCGACUCCCAUUUGAUGUCAGAAAUUCUUCUACUUUACUCCAAGAUUGACUGUUAAUAAUAAUGAGACAAUGACCACUUUGAAUUAGGGGUGCGCAAAAUUAUCUGCUAAUCCGAAAAUCCGUCAUAUUCGAUCUGAUCCGAUCCAAAAAUUAGGAUAUUUGAUUUUUAUUAUUUGAUCGGAUCAAAAGAGGGUCGGGUAUCCGCUAAGAUACGGGGCGAGUUAGAGUCACAUAAUUAAAAAUUCGCGGGUAUCCGAUCCGCCCCGCAUAUAUAUAUUUUUUAUUUUUAUACACACUAUAAAAUAAUAAGUUAGAACCAAAUAAGUAAUUUUAUUGAACAAAUUGCAUUACAAAUAUGAGAGACUAUAGUUUAUUUACAAGAUUCAUUUGUAAAGGUCAUGAUCUUAUAUUUUAUAGAAAAAAGUUUAAUUAAUGUGGAACAUAUAUAUUAAAAAUUGUGCUACUUAUUUCAAACUUUUAUUGAUUUUGAUUUCUUUUAAUUUUUUUCCUUUAUCUUAUAUUCUCUUCAUAUGCUUGUUUCUUGGUGGGAAACCUUUUUUUAGAAAAAAAAAAUUAUUAAAUCUUAGAUGAAUGUGUAAAAUAUAAAAUUAAAUUAGUAUAAAUCAUUUUUUUAAAAAAAUUAAAUGAUAAACGGGACGGAACGGGUACCCGCUGAUCCGACCCUAUCUUAUCGGGUACCCGCUGAUAUGCGGGGCAGGUAAAAAUCAGAAAAUGACUGACCUGUAAGGUGCAGGUCGAAUCAAUCAAAUGGUGAAUGGGACGGGUAUACGACCCGCGCCAACACCUACUUUGAAUUAUCACACCAUCCUUCUUGAUAGGAUUGGUACUAGAGGUAGGGAGGGGAGUCGGCUGCAUCCGGUCUUCUUUUCAUAGAUGUCAUUCACGCAAUAUUAUAUUUCGAAGUCAUUGCAUGGCUAAGCUGCAAAAAAGUACGAACACUUGUUAUUAUAUAGCUUAAGAUUCAAAACGUUAGAGCAUAACCCUCCACCUAACACAAUUGAAUAAUGAAUAUUCACGAUUGUCAAAUCUGUCAAAGCACAGUUUGAGGACAACCCAUUCCAACCUGCAAAAGAUUUUUUACUUUUCUAAAGUUGUUGAGAGCUGUAAAAAGACUUACCAUGCUUACAUCUUCCGAGCCUUGGGAGUUAAAAAUGAAGGCACUGAGUGCUAUAAAAAGGGGGCUAGAGGCUGCCUAGAAGCAUAUCAGCCUAAAACAAGAAUUUGUAGUUAUGAUGGGAAGCAAAGCAAAAGCAAUGGGGUCUGGGCUGACUCCUCUUCUUACCACUCUUUUAGUGGUAUUUGUUGCUCUUGGCUUGCCCUCAGAAACUGCAGCUGAUGAUCACUACAAGUAUUCAUCUCCUCCUCCUCCUUACCACUAUCCCUCACCACCACCUCCAGAGCAUUUACCUCCACCAGUGUACAAAUACAAGUCCCCACCACCACCUCAUCAUGUUUACAAGUACAAAUCUCCACCACCCCCACCACCACACCCAGUUUACAAGUAUAAGUCGCCACCACCACCUCCUCAUCCGGUACCACACCCAGUUUACAAGUAUAAGUCACCACCACCACCUCCUCAUCCGGUACCACACCCAGUUUACAAGUAUAAGUCACCACCACCACCUCCUCAUCCGGUAUACAAGUAUAAGUCUCCUCCGCCACACCACACCCAGUUUACAAGUAUAAGUCACCACCACCACCUCCUCAUCCGGUACCACACCCAGUUUACAAGUAUAAGUCACCACCACCACCUCCUCAUCCGGUAUACAAGUAUAAGUCUCCUCCGCCACCACCACACCCAGUUUACAAGUAUAAGUCACCACCACCACCUCCUCAUCCGGUACCACACCCAGUUUACAAGUACAAGUCACCACCACCUCCUCCCCCAGUUUACAAAUACAAGUCUCCACCACCACCAGUUUACCACUACAAGUCACCACCACCUCCUCCCCCAGUUUACAAAUACAAGUCUCCACCACCUCCUCACCACUACUAAGCAAUUGCUUCUGAGGUAAUAACACUUGUUCAAUAUACCCACUUCUGCAUGAUAAAACAUAUCUCUAUCAACACAAACUGUCAUGUCUAUCAUGCUAAGUGCCUUCACUUCAUCCACCAAAAUGACUGCUAGAAAAUUUUUUUUAUGUUACCAAAGAAAGGCAUCAUUUUUUCCCUCUGUUAUCAAGAACUUGUACAGUAUAUAGAUUAAAGAGUUUUUUUUUAACUAGCUUAUCAACUUAGAAAUGCAUAUAGCUGAUAGCCAGCUGAAUAUUUGCAGGCA
This 35592-nucleotide long non-coding RNA is filed under the name Coffea arabica (coffee). RNAcentral's name for it is "long non-coding RNA (CARA_LNC006959)". The stretch from base 28232 to 28338 matches the Rfam family "Plant small nucleolar RNA R71". The record is from RNAcentral. Lineage: Eukaryota; Viridiplantae; Streptophyta; Magnoliopsida; Gentianales; Rubiaceae.